GAAAAAAAUACGAACCAAGAGGAGCAACUGAUAUUACUAUAGUAAGAAAUUUUACACCGUAGUCACAAAUACAGUACUCAAAGGUGACUACCACACACUCAAAAGAAAUAACCCUCUUUUGAAUCCACCUUACUAAAACACACACACUCAAAAGAAAUAACCUUCUUUUGAAUCCACCUUACUAAAACACCUAAAAGAAAUUUUACACUGUAGUCACAAAUAGACUACCACCUUACUAAAAAUAUUGCUCACUCUAAAUUUUCCAUCACAGACUAAUUUUAUCCCAAUCUGUGAAAUACCUCAUCGCUCUCCAUUGUUUUUC
RNAcentral lists this long non-coding RNA (322 nucleotides) under Capsicum annuum. RNAcentral's name for it is "long non-coding RNA (CANN_LNC014963)". Lineage: Eukaryota; Viridiplantae; Streptophyta; Magnoliopsida; Solanales; Solanaceae. The record is from RNAcentral.